This 305-nucleotide ribosomal RNA is filed under the name uncultured bacterium. RNAcentral describes it as "bacterial SSU rRNA". It matches the Rfam family "Bacterial small subunit ribosomal RNA", at positions 334 to 636 of the family's 1533-position model. The record is from RNAcentral.
UUUUCCUACGGGACGCAGCAGUGAGGAAUAUUGGUCAAUGGGCGGAAGCCUGAACCAGCCAAGUCGCGUGAGGGAAUAAGGCCCUACGGGUCGUAAACCUCUUUUGCCGGGGAGCAAGGGCGGGGACGUGUCCCGGCCCGGAGAGUACCCGGAGAAAAAGCAUCGGCUAACUCCGUGCCAGCAGCCGCGGUAAUACGGAGGAUGCGAGCGUUAUCCGGAUUUAUUGGGUUUAAAGGGUGCGCAGGCGGCGAGUUAAGUCAGCGGUAAAAUUUCGGGGCUCAACCCCGACGAGCCGUUGAAACUGG